GGCAACGUGACCGGGACCCGCGACGUCACUUCCGGCGGAAGUGCUCUGCUCGUGGAGACGGACGCCGGGCCUGGGACACGGCGGCGGCGGCAGCCAGUGGGGACGGUGAGGAGGGAGGUGAAGAGUAAUACAAUGUAUCCACAUGAAGGACAUACUUAUUUCCCAGACAAGGGUCGUUGGACUGCUGGUCGCAAAGUGUUCCUGUCCACCCUCCGUCGCACUCGCAGCUCCAUGGUGUCUUCCUGAUUUAUUCAUUCAUUCAUGGCUGGUGUUGCUACGCGCAUAACAUGCCCAAUCACAUAAGGACAAUUCUGCCCAAAUAUCUGCUAAUGGCGGGAAGAAUUACUGCAUGGGAAGCUGACAUUACACUGGGAAUCUGAGUGCACCAUGGAGGCUGCAGCAGCUCUGCCAAGUCAAACAGAGCAUUAUGGGCUAGCACAGUGUACCCGGCGCAAGCCAGCAGGACAGGGAUCAACCAGAAUGCUGAUCUGCUGCUUAUAACAGCAACCCCCAGCAAUAUCUACAGGACACAAUUCCAAACAAAACGGAGAAGGCAAGUGCCUAAUAUUAGGGAUGUCUGAUUUUCCAAACAAAAGAAAACAUUAUGGCACAGCUCUGUUUGGCCUUUCUCUGCCAGACAACGUAUGUAACGUGGAAAAACAGAAAAGGAGAUUUAUGUGCUGCAACAAAAAUCAAUGUAUCGGUGGAUUUAUGGAACCACGGAGCGGCUGCAGCUGAUUUAUAACCUCCCAGUGACUUCUUUGAACCCAAUCCCAUAUUCAGAAGACUGGAUUCACUUUCAUGUUAGUGAGAUUGUGGACCCGUGUUUUAUAGCUGGUAGAGGACACGCUAAUACAGUACAGGAGAAGGUCUAUAGCAAGCCAAAAAGGCUGAGCACUGUCAAGCAACAUAAACUUGGAAUUUGGUGUAUCCUCUGAGGGGCAUUUGCACUUACAGAGAGUUGAGGGAACGCAGGCCUUGGAAAGCAUCUGGGGCUAUUUCAGAUAUCUGGUUGUUGCUUAAAUCACUGCAAUUAGAAACAGUUUUAUGAUCAGAUUAUAUCCAUACUAAAAGUAACAUUUUUAAGACAAAAUUCUGAGCGGUCAUCAUAGUUAACCAUGUUAAUUCAAAAAGAUCGUAAAGGAACAUACGAGGACCACUAAAUCCAGGGAUUGUAACGUUUAGAUAUCAACCAUGGCGGUUUAGUACAUAAUUCAGUGUUAUCCUGAUAUUCCACUGCAGCCCUGAUAAAAAAAAUUACUUACCCAUUUAUUAUAGACAUCUAUAAAACAGUGUCUCUAUGGGAUUUGAGACAGGGUAAAAAGUUGAUACUGUAGUUCUCCGAGCAGCUGACCUGCCUGUGUGUACGACUCCAUCAUACCUGAACUCUAGGAGAGCACGUCAGCAAGCCUACCAGUCACUCUCUCUGCUCUUAGAAAGCACAUCACUAUUAACCAUAGCAACCUCCAUAAACCACAUUUAUUUCAUGUUGUUAAGCACUGUAAAAACAGCCUUUCCUAUAUAUUUAUGUCUAGCAGUAAAGGUCACCUAUGAAAGUGCACGUUGCAGGUUUGUGCACUACCCCCCAAAACAAAUCUGCACCUACUGUACUCCAGACAGAUUCUGGGCCCAAACGGAAAUGCGCAUAGUGGAAUGAGUGUAAAGUAAACUGCUGAGAUUAGCAUAGUUCAUGUCUUAAAUUAAUAAUACCGGUGACAGGACAUCCGAAUUGUCACUUUUGCAAUGCUAAAAAUUGGUCUGACGCAGGGUUAUUCAACACGGGGCCUCCAGCUGCUGUGGAACCACACAUCCCAGCGUGUCCUGCCACAGUUUUGUUAUUAAGCCAUGCUAAAACUGUGGCAGGACAUGUUGGGAUGUGUAGUACCACAACAGCUGGAGGGGCGUAUGUUGAAUAACCCUUGUCUAACAUAUGAGCUGAGGCCUAGCUUCCACGGCAAAACGUCUCAUGUCCCAGUGAUAUCACUAAUUCCUAGUGAUAGGAUAUAUACUUGGGCACUCUUGGCCCUUUGGAAAGGUAGGCAAGUCUUCCAGAAACUGCCUCACCCCCCACCCCCCUCUACACAAUCACCCCCCUCCCUCAUGGGGCAGCCAGAAAGUAUGAUCUGAUAGGCUGUAUACUCAUUCGUUUUGGUUCAGGUCACAAAAUAGCUUUGUGCACUGUGUAUACAUGACGGGUACCCUAUUGGAGUCUUUAUAUAGCAAACUAAAACAGUUUAAAUACCAGCAUAAAAGCUCUAUGGAAUACUACAGUCCACUUGUAGUUUAUGUAGUUCUUCUAUAUAUAUAUAUAUAUAUAUAAUAAAUAUCCCCAAGUGACAAAACAAUGACCUCUAAUAGUUUACCUUUUAUCCUAUAUGGCUAUGUUUUUGCUAGAAUUGUUAUUUGAUGCUUCUAUACCAAAGUCACAGAUGAUUAACAAGUGAAAAAGACCUGUGGUUGUGGCAAUCAGUGGAUAAUAUUUGCUAAUCGUCCAUCUGUGAAAAGCUUAGAGAAUAUUUUUGGAUACCCCGUGACCCCCAUUAAAGGACUGGUUUGAAAUGA
This is a long non-coding RNA of Pseudophryne corroboree (corroboree frog), 2562 nucleotides long. RefSeq lists it as uncharacterized. The record is from RefSeq and is a predicted model, not a curated record. NCBI's taxonomy places the organism in Eukaryota, Metazoa, Chordata, Amphibia, Anura, Myobatrachidae. The transcript has 5 exons.